CCUACGGGAGGCAGCAGUGGGGAAUCUUGCGCAAUGGGCGGAAGCCUGACGCAGCGACGCCGCGUGGGGGAUGACGGCCUUCGGGUUGUAAACCUCUUUCGCCAUCGACGAAGCCCUUCGGGGUGACGGUAGGUGGAGAAGAAGCACCGGCCAACUACGUGCCAGCAGCCGCGGUAACACGUAGGGUGCGAGCGUUGUCCGGAAUUAUUGGGCGUAAAGAGCUCGUAGGCGGUUUGUCGCGUCGGCCGUGAAAACCUGGGGCUUAACUCCGGGCGUGCGGUCGAUACGGGCAGACUUGAGUGUGGCAGGGGAGACUGGAAUUCCUGGUGUAGCGGUGAAAUGCGCAGAUAUCAGGAGGAACACCGGUGGCGAAGGCGGGUCUCUGGGCCGAUACUGACGCUGAGGAGCGAAAGCGUGGGGAGCGAACAGGAUUAGAUACCCUGGUAGUCCACGCUGUAAACGUUGGGCGCUAGGUGUGGGGCAUGUUCACGUGUUCCGUGCCGUAGCUAACGCAUUAAGCGCCCCGCCUGGGGAGUACGGCCGCAAGGCUAAAACUCAAAGGAAUUGACGGGGGCCCGCACAAGCGGCGGAGCAUGUGGAUUAAUUCGAUGCAACGCGAAGAACCUUAC
Molecule: ribosomal RNA, 629 nt
Filed under: uncultured Actinomycetes bacterium
Lineage: Bacteria; Bacillati; Actinomycetota; Actinomycetes
Description: bacterial SSU rRNA
Rfam family: Bacterial small subunit ribosomal RNA
Source: RNAcentral